RNAcentral lists this ribosomal RNA (253 nucleotides) under uncultured bacterium. RNAcentral's name for it is "partial 16S ribosomal RNA". It matches the Rfam family "Bacterial small subunit ribosomal RNA", at positions 524 to 776 of the family's 1533-position model. The record is from RNAcentral.
UACGGAGGGUGCAAGCGUUGUUCGGAAUCACUGGGCGUAAAGGGCGUGUAGGCGGCCCGCUAAGUCUGAUGUGAAAGCCCGGGGCUCACCCCCGGAAGGGCAUUGGAAACUGGCGGACUCGAGUCCCGGAGAGGAAGGUGGAAUUCCUGGUGUAGCGGUGAAAUGCGUAGAUAUCAGGAGGAAUACCGGUGGCGAAGGCGGCCUUCUGGACGGUGACUGACGCUGAGACGCGAAAGCGUGGGGAGCAAACAGG